Molecule: ribosomal RNA, 545 nt
Filed under: uncultured bacterium
Lineage: Bacteria
Description: bacterial SSU rRNA
Rfam family: Bacterial small subunit ribosomal RNA
Source: RNAcentral
AAGUCGAACGAGAAAGGGGGAGCAAUCCCCUGGGUACAGUGGCGUACGGGUGAGUAACACGUGGAUGAUCUACCUCUUAGUGGGGAAUAUCUCUGGGAAACCGGAGUUAAUACCGCAUAAGCUCGCGAGAGGAAACCCGCAAGGGGCUGAGAGAGGAGUCCGCGGCCGAUUAGCUAGUUGGUAGGGUAAAGGCCUACCAAGGCAUAGAUCGGUAGCCGGCCUGAGAGGGCACACGGCCACACUGGCACUGAAACACGGGCCAGACUCCUACGGGAGGCAGCAGUGGGGAAUCUUGCACAAUGGGGGAAACCCUGAUGCAGCGACGCCGCGUGAGCGAUGAAGCCCUUCGGGGUGUAAAGCUCUUUCGACGGGAACGAUAAUGACGGUACCCGGAGAAGAAGCUGCGGCUAACUACGUGCCAGCAGCCGCGGUAAUACGUAGGCAGCAAGCGUUGUUCGGAGUUACUGGGCGUAAAGAGUGCGUAGGCGGUCUCGUAAGUUUGUUGUGAAAUCUCCCGGCUUAACUGGGAGGGUGCGGCGAAAACU